RNAcentral lists this long non-coding RNA (2067 nucleotides) under Homo sapiens (human). RNAcentral's name for it is "HSALNT0094746". Lineage: Eukaryota; Metazoa; Chordata; Mammalia; Primates; Hominidae. The record is from RNAcentral.
UUUGUUUGUAAGUUCGGGUUAACCAGCCUUGAUACAACACCAGAACCCUGCACACAACCCUGAGGCAUCAGUUUUAAUGAGGGAUUACCUGAUAACUCUAUAAAGCUGUCCUGUUCACUUGAAGCCACAUUAGCCCAUGGUGCUACUAAAAUCUGCCUUAAAUAGACAUUUAGUUCAUUUCUUCCUAAUUCUAAUCCCAGCAAUCUCUUCCUCACAUAGUUCCCAGCACAUUUACUGCCAAUGAACUCCAGCAAGUUGCCACAUGGCAAGCCAGAAUCUGUUUGCCAUAUGAACGUGACCCUGGUCACCAGCUAAUGGGUGCCUGGCCUCCGUCCUGCCCACUGGCAUGAGCUUUGUUCCACCUUCACUUUACCUAAACAAAUGCAAGCAAACUGAACUUCCUUUGUACCGUGGACCUCAGCAGUGUUCGGCCUUCCCUCGGUGCAAACGCGAGCAAUCGAACAAACACCGUUACGAAGACAUGUAAAGGGUCUCUUCAGUGGUGCCGUAAAUCCAAGUUACGAGGAUAGAGACGCUCCCUCCUUCUGGCCUCACGCACCUGCAGGCACCUUCCUGACAGUGGCAGGAGGGAGAUACAGCAUGUGGGACAUGUGGCCUUAUGUGAACUCGGCAUGAAUCAGCCUCACAAAGCUCACCUCCAACCACCAGCCCACUUGCAAAGGAGGGCUGGACUGCAGCAGAACCCAGCGUGGUCAAGGGGGCACCUCCACCUUCCUGUGAAGAGCUCAGCAGAUCCCCAGCAACUGGCAGAUGUUAUUAUUCACAACUUACUUGCUGUGUAGCCUUCAGCAAGUUGGCUGACCUCCUUGGGCCUCAGUUUCCUCCUCUGUAAAAUGGGGGAAAAAACAGUACCUUUUCCUAAGAAGUUAUGAAAUAAGUGAUUAAGUACUUCAAGCUGUGUCUGACACACAAGUGCCUAAUAGGUAUUAGCUGUUAUUAUUUAUUGCCCCCUUUUUACACAGGAAGAAAGUGGACUUUAAAAGGGAACUUGGGUAGACAUAAUUUGGAGUUUUUGUCCCAAGUCUCUGCAGGAUCAAAUCUCUAAAGGAAAUGCUGUGGGUGAGCCUAAGCCUGGAGCCUCCCAAAGAGAAAAGCCUGUGUCUCUUCUGUCUCCAGCAAGGACAGUAGAACAGGGGUUCCUGAAGGUCUGCUUGGAGCCCAGCACUGCGUCUUCUAUCACAGGGAUCCUUGUUGCUAUCAAGGGCCAGCAUGGCCCUGCUCAGAUUCCACUUGUAAAGUGUAAACUACAGAAUCUCAGGUUUACAAGAAACUCUAAUGACCAUCCAGGUCCACAGCUGCUCACAGAGGCCCUUAAAACCUCCACCAGGACAUUGCUUGAAUACCUCCAGGGAUGGGGAACUCAGUACCUACAGAGGCCUCACAUUCCACUCCAGAUGCACCUGAAGAGAGGGGAAGGGGAAAUAAGUGAAGGGGUCAGGGAGGCUGGUACAAAGGCCGAUUUUGCCAGUUUCUCAGUUGAGCCUAAGACAGGGCCAGACUCCAGCCACCCAGCUGCCACUACUGCUCCUGCCCAAGAACUCCGGUUCUCUAGAAAACUGAGAGCCCCUCUGGGAGGCCAGGCUUGGCAGGAAGAUGUGGAAGCAGGCUGAGCCACAAACGAACUGGUUCCAUACCAUUAGGCAACAGGAAAGAAAAAGGGUGGCCCGCCCCGGGCCGGGCGCAGCAGCAGCGGCAGUCAUGGAGAUCAAAACACCCAGAUAAUGAGCCGAAUUCUUCUCCCAGAGACACCAGCUAACGAAGGGAGCACAGGAAGCCCCAUGUCACGGGCCCAAAGUGUUUAUACAAGUGUUAAAAAUACAUUUCAAAAGAAAGCAGGGAAGCCCAAGGAAAACCCUCUGCCGCCCUUGGAAAACGGUUUUUGCAAACCACGUUAAUUUGUUUUCCAAAAGGUGUUUGAAGUCUCCCUGUGUACCCCCUGGGCAACUUUAAUUCCACCUCCUAAUCCCCUAUUAAACCUGAUGCUCACUAACACAGCCCACUUAGGGGAUUAUGCUUUUUAUUCUUCAUUAUACAGAUACAUAUUUG